GUGCUCACUUCAGCAGCACAUGUACUGAAAUUGGAACAAUACAGAGAAAAUUAGCAUGGCCCUUGCACAAGGAUGGCACACAAAUGCAUGAAGCAUACCAUAUUUUU
RNAcentral lists this small nuclear RNA (107 nucleotides) under Chinchilla lanigera (long-tailed chinchilla). The record is from RNAcentral. Lineage: Eukaryota; Metazoa; Chordata; Mammalia; Rodentia; Chinchillidae.